Molecule: ribosomal RNA, 202 nt
Filed under: uncultured Lactobacillus sp.
Lineage: Bacteria; Bacillati; Bacillota; Bacilli; Lactobacillales; Lactobacillaceae
Description: partial 16S ribosomal RNA
Rfam family: Bacterial small subunit ribosomal RNA
Source: RNAcentral
UAGCUAAUACCGGAUAACAACAGAUGAUGCCUAUCAACUGUUUAAAAGAUGGUUCUGCUAUCACUCUUGGAUGGACCUGCGGUGCAUUAGCUAGUUGGUAGGGUAACGGCCUACCAAGGCGAUGAUGCAUAGCCGAGUUGAGAGACUGAUCGGCCACAUUGGGACUGAGACACGGCCCAAACUCCUACGGGAGGCAGCAGGU